This 940-nucleotide long non-coding RNA is filed under the name Solanum tuberosum (potato). Its description in RNAcentral is "long non-coding RNA (STUB_LNC003249)". The record is from RNAcentral. Lineage: Eukaryota; Viridiplantae; Streptophyta; Magnoliopsida; Solanales; Solanaceae.
UGCCGUGGUCAUGAUGGGAAACUCAAUUUGUGGUACUGUCACUUGUACCUGAUAUGCCCAUUAUUGCACCCCACUGACGUACCUUAUUCAACUUCCCUUUCUUUUCUUCUUUCAAAAGGUAGUGAGAGCACAUAAGUUCAUCACAACAAUCAUGUGUUCAACCCAAUCAAGUUUUUGUCCCGACUAGCUGGGAAUUGUGGCUUAGUUUUACUUCCCUAUUGGUCAUUUUUCUUCAUCCGUAAGCCUCAAUAAUUGAUUAUCUUUAUAAUUUAUUUGACUGGUUGAUCUUGAUCAUCAUAAAAUUAAUCUGCAUGACGGGUACUCCAUUUGAGUUCUUAUUGAAGGUUGGCUCUCUAGUUACCAAGUGAAGGAAUUUAUCGAAGCCUGGCCUUGCCCAUUCCUUUAUUCUUGGGCUCUUUGUGAGUGCUGAAACAAAUUUCGGAAAGAUAACGAUGACUCUUUCAAGCCAUCAAGCUCUAGAAAAUUGAACUGGGACGAAAGUCCCAGGAUCUUCUAAUGGGCAGAAAGUGACUUUAGAAAGAGACAAUUUUUGAUAAUUUUGUUACAUACUACUUAAAAGUUGUGGUUGUGUUAGUGUAACUGUUUUGGCCUUUUUGGUGAUGCAAAUCAAGUUUUAAAAUCAGGAAUGGAUAAGAAUGGUUUUGUGUUGUAUAAAAGCAGAGAGCAAAUUAAAGUUGCUUUAUGAUCUAUUUCGUCACGCAUGAGACCUACCGGCUACCUUAGUACAUCUGUUAGCGAUUCUGGACCCAAUUGAUAAUUUUUUUAGCUUUAAAUAUAGGGCCACUUUGAAAUAUGGUACAAAGACAAGUUAAUUUCGUUAUUGCUAGUAGUAUUAAAACAAUUUUAUUUCUGGAUUACAUGCUUUGUUAAUUGAUUGUUGGUUGUUAUAGACUUCUCUGUAGUCUGUACUAUUCAUUGC